GUGGGGAAUCUUAGACAAUGGGCGCAAGCCUGAUCCAGCCAUGCCGCGUGUGUGAAGAAGGCCUUUUGGUUGUAAAGCACUUUAAGCGAGGAGGAGGCUACCGAGAUUAAUACUCUUGGAUAGUGGACGUUACUCGCAGAAUAAGCACCGGCUAACUCUGUGCCAGCAGCCGCGGUAAUACAGAGGGUGCAAGCGUUAAUCGGAUUUACUGGGCGUAAAGCGCGCGUAGGUGGCCAAUUAAGUCAAAUGUGAAAGCCCCGAGCUUAACUUGGGAAUUGCAUUCGAUACUGGUUGGCUAGAGUAUGGGAGAGGAUGGUAGAAUUCCAGGUGUAGCGGUGAAAUGCGUAGAGAUCUGGAGGAAUACCGAUGGCGAAGGCAGCCAUCUGGCCUAAUACUGACACUGAGGUGCGAAAGCAUGGGGAGCAAACAGGAUUAGAAACCCUGGUAGUCC
This 451-nucleotide ribosomal RNA is filed under the name uncultured bacterium. Its description in RNAcentral is "partial 16S ribosomal RNA". It matches the Rfam family "Bacterial small subunit ribosomal RNA", at positions 354 to 796 of the family's 1533-position model. The record is from RNAcentral.